RNAcentral lists this ribosomal RNA (497 nucleotides) under uncultured bacterium. RNAcentral describes it as "partial 16S ribosomal RNA". It matches the Rfam family "Bacterial small subunit ribosomal RNA", at positions 28 to 507 of the family's 1533-position model. The record is from RNAcentral.
GAUGAACGCUGGCGGCGUGCCUAAUACAUGCAAGUCGAGCGAACAGACGAGGAGCUUGCUCCUCUGACGUUAGCGGCGGACGGGUGAGUAACACGUGGAUAACCUACCUAUAAGACUGGGAUAACUUCGGGAAACCGGAGCUAAUACCGGAUAAUAUAUUGAACCUCAUGGUUCAAUAGUGAAAGACGGUUUUGCUGUCACUUAUAGAUGGAUCCGCGCCGCAUUAGCUAGUUGGUAAGGUAAUGGCUUACCAAGGCAACGAUGCGUAGCCGACCUGAGAGGGUGAUCGGCCACACUGGAACUGAGACACGGUCCAGACUCCUACGGGAGGCAGCAGUAGGGAAUCUUCCGCAAUGGGCGAAAGCGUGACGGAGCAACGCCGCGUGAGUGAUGAAGGUCUUCGGAUCGUAAAACUCUGUUAUUAGUGAAGAACAAAUGUGUAAGUAACUAUGCACGUCUUGACGGUACCUAAUCAGAAAGCCACGGCUAACUACGUG